AAACAUUCAUUGAAAGUCAAAGCACAUAUAUAUAUAUAUUCAAAAAGUAACUGAAUACAUAGAUGUUUCAAUACAUAUGAGUUAAUACAAAAGUCAUGGAUAGAAACUAUCCAAGAGUCAAUCAGCUAACAAAGUACAAAGGCCAAAAGAUAGAUCCUAGACUUAGAAGUCUAACUAAUCUAGAUCUAAUAGAUAUCAUGGCU
Molecule: long non-coding RNA, 203 nt
Filed under: Elaeis guineensis (African oil palm)
Lineage: Eukaryota; Viridiplantae; Streptophyta; Magnoliopsida; Arecales; Arecaceae
Description: long non-coding RNA (EGUI_LNC070519)
Source: RNAcentral